This 244-nucleotide ribosomal RNA is filed under the name uncultured bacterium. Its description in RNAcentral is "partial 16S ribosomal RNA". It matches the Rfam family "Bacterial small subunit ribosomal RNA", at positions 57 to 305 of the family's 1533-position model. The record is from RNAcentral.
GCAAGUCGAACGGAAACAUGUCUAGCUUGCUAGAUGAUGUCGAGUGGCGGACGGGUGAGUAAUGCCUGGGAAUUUGCCUUUGUGUGGGGGAUAACUAUUGGAAACGAUAGCUAAUACCGCAUAACACCUACGGGUCAAAGGGGGCUUCGGCUCCCGCGCAAAGAGAAGCCCAGGUGAGAUUAGCUAGUUGGUGAGGUAAAGGCUCACCAAGGCGACGAUCAGUAUCUGGUUUGAGAGGACGAUC